This 253-nucleotide ribosomal RNA is filed under the name uncultured bacterium. Its description in RNAcentral is "partial 16S ribosomal RNA". It matches the Rfam family "Bacterial small subunit ribosomal RNA", at positions 524 to 776 of the family's 1533-position model. The record is from RNAcentral.
UACGAAGGGUGCAAGCGUUAAUCGGAAUUACUGGGCGUAAAGCGUGCGCAGGCGGUUCGCUAAGACAGAUGUGAAAUCCCCGGGCUUAACCUGGGAACUGCAUUUGUGACUGGCGGGCUAGAGUAUGGCAGAGGGGGGUAGAAUUCCACGUGUAGCAGUGAAAUGCGUAGAGAUGUGGAGGAAUACCGAUGGCGAAGGCAGCCCCCUGGGCCAAUACUGACGCUCAUGCACGAAAGCGUGGGGAGCAAACAGG